GGAGAGGUCGCAUAGUUGGUCUAGUGCGCCCGCCUCGAAAGUGGGUAAGCGCAAGCUUCGUGGGUUCGAAUCCCACCCUCUCCG
This 84-nucleotide transfer RNA is filed under the name Armatimonadota bacterium. Its description in RNAcentral is "tRNA-Ser". It matches the Rfam family "tRNA". From Rfam's summary of the family: Transfer RNA (tRNA) molecules are approximately 80 nucleotides in length. Their secondary structure includes four short double-helical elements and three loops (D, anti-codon, and T loops). Further hydrogen bonds mediate the characteristic L-shaped molecular structure. tRNAs have two regions of fundamental functional importance: the anti-codon, which is responsible for specific mRNA codon recognition, and the 3' end, to which the tRNAs corresponding amino acid is attached (by aminoacyl-tRNA synthetases). tRNAs cope with the degeneracy of the genetic code in two manners: having more than one tRNA (with a specific anti-codon) for a particular amino acid; and 'wobble' base-pairing, i.e. permitting non-standard base-pairing at the 3rd anti-codon position. The record is from RNAcentral. Lineage: Bacteria; Bacillati; Armatimonadota.